RNAcentral lists this ribosomal RNA (544 nucleotides) under uncultured bacterium. RNAcentral describes it as "bacterial SSU rRNA". It matches the Rfam family "Bacterial small subunit ribosomal RNA", at positions 777 to 1320 of the family's 1533-position model. The record is from RNAcentral.
AAUAGAUACCCUGGUAGUCCACCCGUAAACGUUGGGAACUAGUUGUGGGGUCCUUUCCACGGAUUCCGUGACGCAGCUAACGCAUUAAGUUCCCCGCCUGGGGAGUACGGCCGCAAGGCUAAAACUCAAAGGAAUUGACGGGGACCCGCACAAGCGGCGGAGCAUGCGGAUUAAUUCGAUGCAACGCGAAGAACCUUACCAAGGCUUGACAUACACCAGAACACCCUAGAAAUAGGGGACUCUUUGGACACUGGUGAACAGGUGGUGCGUGGUUGUCGUCAGCUCGUGUCGUGAGAUGUUGGGUUAAGUCCCGCAACGAGCGCAACCCUCGUUCUAUGUUGCCAGCACGUAAUGGUGGGAACUCAUGGGAUACUGCCGGGGUCAACUCGGAGGAAGGUGGGGAUGACGUCAAAUCAUCAUGCCCCUUAUGUCUUGGGCUUCACGCAUGCUACAAUGGCCGGUACAAAGGGCUGCAAUACCGUGAGGUGGAGCGAAUCCCAAAAAGCCGGUCCCAGUUCGGAUUGAGGUCUGCAACUCGACCUCA